AGCAACGAACCAAAGGAGGAGAAGGAAGGGAGGAAGAAGAAGGAGAAAGAAAGAAAAAGAUUUAGCCGUCCGAUUCCAAUUCCGACUUGGGUGUACGUUUGAGGAGAUUUGGGUGAAGUUAUAAAAUCCAGAAAGUAUCGGUAGGAGGUACGCAUGGCACCUCCGGGACAGGGGACGUCUCGGGAGAUAGAAAGACGGGCUGAAUGAGUGAACUGCAUCUGAUGUAUUAUAUGUAAAUUCUAACUAGAAAAACCUCCCGUUUUGGGAGUAUGUUUUUGUAAAUAUUUAUAAACUUGUUUUUUUGGGAAUAAUAAAAUGCUUAUAUAAUUAAUUUUAGCCUUAACACUGUGUUGUGGGGCCCGAAGUAGGAGGUGACGACCUCAUGAUGCAGUGUGGCGGUAGCAUUUCCAGUAUGAGC
Long non-coding RNA from Andrographis paniculata, 418 nucleotides. RefSeq lists it as uncharacterized. NCBI's taxonomy places the organism in Eukaryota, Viridiplantae, Streptophyta, Magnoliopsida, Lamiales, Acanthaceae. The transcript is spliced from 3 exons. The record is from RefSeq and is a predicted model, not a curated record.